This 253-nucleotide ribosomal RNA is filed under the name uncultured bacterium. RNAcentral describes it as "partial 16S ribosomal RNA". It matches the Rfam family "Bacterial small subunit ribosomal RNA", at positions 524 to 776 of the family's 1533-position model. The record is from RNAcentral.
UACGGAGGAGGCAAGCGUUAUCCGGAAUUAUUGGGCGUAAAGCGUCCGUAGGUGGCUAGUCAAGUCUGCGGUCAAAGACUGGGGCUUAACCCUGGAAAGGCCGUGGAAACUGCCGAGCUAGAGUGCAGUAGGGGUAGAGGGAAUUCCCGGUGUAGCGGUGAAAUGCGUAGAGCUCGGGAAGAACAUCGGUGGCGAAAGCGCUGUACUGGACUGCAACUGACGCUCAGGGACGAAAGCUAGGGGAGCGAAUGGG